RNAcentral lists this ribosomal RNA (135 nucleotides) under uncultured bacterium. RNAcentral's name for it is "partial 16S ribosomal RNA". It matches the Rfam family "Bacterial small subunit ribosomal RNA", at positions 355 to 506 of the family's 1533-position model. The record is from RNAcentral.
UGGGGGAUAUUGCACAAUGGGGGGAACCCGUGAUGCAGCGACGCCGCGUGGGUGAAGAAGCGCCUCGGCGCGUAAAGCCCUGUCAGCAGGGAAGAAAAUGACGGUACCUGAAGAAGAAGCCCCGGCUAACUACGU